This 258-nucleotide ribosomal RNA is filed under the name uncultured bacterium. RNAcentral's name for it is "partial 16S ribosomal RNA". It matches the Rfam family "Bacterial small subunit ribosomal RNA", at positions 516 to 773 of the family's 1533-position model. The record is from RNAcentral.
CGCGGUAAUACGGAGGGUGCGAGCGUUGUUCGGAAUUAUUGGGCGUAAAGGGUGCGUAGGCGGCCUAUUAAGUCAGUUCUGAAAUAUCCCGGCUUAACCGGGAGGGUGGGAUUGAUACUGAUGGGCUUGAGUGGACUCGAGGUAGGCGGAAUUGACGGUGUAGCGGUGAAAUGCUUAGAUAUCGUCAAGAACACCGAUAGUGUAGACAGCUUACUAGAUUUCAACUGACGCUGAGGCACGAAAGUGUGGGGAUCAAAC